This 205-nucleotide ribosomal RNA is filed under the name uncultured bacterium. Its description in RNAcentral is "partial 16S ribosomal RNA". It matches the Rfam family "Bacterial small subunit ribosomal RNA", at positions 568 to 772 of the family's 1533-position model. The record is from RNAcentral.
CGCGUAGGCGGUUUUUUAAGUGAGGCGUGAAAUCCCUGGGCUUAACCUAGGAGGUGCGUUUCAGACUGGAAAGCUUGAGUGCGAGAGAGGAAAGUGGAAUUCCUAGUGUAGAGGUGAAAUUCGUAGAUAUUAGGAAGAACACCAGUGGCGAAGGCGGCUUUCUGGCUCGCAACUGACGCUGAGGCGCGAAAGCGUGGGGGAGAAC